UACGUAGGGGGCUAGCGUUGUCCGGAAUCAUUGGGCGUAAAGCGCGCGUAGGCGGCCAGAUAAGUCCGGUGUGAAAGUCACAGGCUCAACCUGUGAAUGCCGCUGGAAACUGUCUGGCUAGAGUCCGGAAGGGGCGAGUGGAAUUCCUGGUGUAGCGGUGAAAUGCGCAGAUAUCAGGAGGAACACCAAUGGCGAAGGCAGCUCGCUGGAACGGUACUGACGCUGGAGGCGCGAAAGCGUGGGGAGCGAACAGG
RNAcentral lists this ribosomal RNA (254 nucleotides) under uncultured bacterium. RNAcentral describes it as "partial 16S ribosomal RNA". It matches the Rfam family "Bacterial small subunit ribosomal RNA", at positions 524 to 776 of the family's 1533-position model. The record is from RNAcentral.